GUAAUAUAGAACGUUUCGUGUUGCUACUAUUUUUAAAACCGCGCCUGCCUUUCUUUCACUCUCGUAAAAGAGAUUUCUGUGCAAAAUCGUUGGCGUCGUUUGUUGCGUUGAUGAAAGUCAUGUGUGGUGCGAUCCGGCGUGUUUUUGUGGUUUUCGCGGUGUUUCGGCGAGCCUGAGGCAGCAAGUGAAUCGGCCAGUAAGGGAAUACGCGCCCACCAGUGACGUGUUUAUAUACAUAUUGCGAUAAACCUUUGUGUUUUUUAGUGUCGUAUAGCGACUUUGGAGAGUCUAUUUUGGUUUCUUUACAAACAUUUUUACUGCCACGUAGCAGUGUGAAGUGUGCUAUUUUUAUAACCGUUCGCUUCGCUGUGUGUGAGCAGCAGGGCUUCGUUGCUGGAAAACGGCGGUCAGAGUGGUCGUUGUCUGCCAUUUUCACUUUAUCGGUGUAUCGUUUUAGUGGAUACAGGUCUCGAUUGUUACUAAUCGAAUUAGCUUUGCUUUAUUUUUGCCUAAAACAAGUGAACGUGCGCGUUUUUGGGAUUACCUACUUUUCCAUUGGAGUGACUUUAAUUAAGACAUCAGAAAACAUUGAAUGGACUACGGCGAACUUCGGAUAACUUCCCAAGGAAUUAUUAUAUAAAGGUACGGAACUUCUCUUGCAGUUGCAGUAGAAAACAAUCACGUGAGUAACCCUUUGCAUUUCAUGUAGAGUGUAGACCAUGC
Long non-coding RNA from Photinus pyralis (common eastern firefly), 723 nucleotides. RefSeq lists it as uncharacterized. The record is from RefSeq and is a predicted model, not a curated record. NCBI's taxonomy places the organism in Eukaryota, Metazoa, Arthropoda, Insecta, Coleoptera, Lampyridae. The transcript is spliced from 3 exons.